GGGGACCUGCGGAAGGAUCAUUACCGAAUGUCGACACGAGUUGUUGCUGGUCCUCGAAUGGGGGCACGUGCACGCUCUGUUUAUGCAUCCACUCACACCUGUGCACCCUCUGUAGUUCUAUGGCCUUGAGGGCCUCUGUCCUCUUUGCCCACGGUUCUACGUUUUUACACACACACCGUAACAAAGUCUCGUGGAAUGUAUGCAGCGUUUAACGCAAUACAAUACAACUUUCAGCAACGGAUCUCUUGGCUCUCGCAUCGAUGAAGAACGCAGCGAAAUGCGAUAAGUAAUGUGAAUUGCAGAAUUCAGUGAAUCAUCGAAUCUUUGAACGCACCUUGCGCCCUUUGGCUAUUCCGAAGGGCAUGCCUGUUUGAGUAUCGUGAACACCUCAACUCCUCAUGGUUUGCCAUGAUGGGCUUGGACUUUGGGGGCUUUGCUGGCUGCAACGGUCGGCUCCUCUCAAAUGAAUCAGCUUCCAGUGUUUGGUGGCGUCACAGGUGUGAUAACUAUCUACGCUUGUGGUCUCCCCACCAGGUAACCUUCAGCGAUGGGGGUUCGCUGGGGCUCAUAAACGUCUCUCCUCUGCGAGAGACAGCUUUUUGAACGUUUGAUCUCAAAUCAGGUAGGACUACCCGCUGAACUUAAGCAUAUCAAUAGGC
RNAcentral lists this ribosomal RNA (659 nucleotides) under uncultured fungus. Its description in RNAcentral is "eukaryotic LSU rRNA". The stretch from base 226 to 380 matches the Rfam family "5.8S ribosomal RNA". Lineage: Eukaryota; Fungi. The record is from RNAcentral.